Molecule: unclassified non-coding RNA, 358 nt
Filed under: Hevea brasiliensis (rubber tree)
Lineage: Eukaryota; Viridiplantae; Streptophyta; Magnoliopsida; Malpighiales; Euphorbiaceae
Source: RNAcentral
UUGUAAUUUGAAAAAGAAAAGAGCACAAGUUUUUUGUGAAAGCGGGUGCCCAAUUAACUGAAGUGCCAGAGGUUGGACAAUGGGAAGGAUCAAAACGGAUGUCCCUGAUGGCAAACUCCUUCAUGAGAAUCUAUGAAGUUCCUAGAUGUCCUAAUCUAUUGACUUUAUUUCUUGGCGAUAAUCGUGGUUUGUGGGGGAUAAUUGAUGGUUUCUUUCGGUUUAUGGAUAAACUAACUGUUCUAGACCUCUCUCGCACUUGUACAAGGGAAUUGCCGGUGGGAAUAUCAAAAUUGAUUUUAUUGCAAUAUCUUAAUUUGUCAAGGACAUUUAUAGAGCAAUUGCCAGUUGAGUUGAAAAU